RNAcentral lists this ribosomal RNA (323 nucleotides) under uncultured Bacteroidota bacterium. RNAcentral describes it as "bacterial SSU rRNA". It matches the Rfam family "Bacterial small subunit ribosomal RNA", at positions 28 to 351 of the family's 1533-position model. Lineage: Bacteria; Pseudomonadati; Bacteroidota. The record is from RNAcentral.
GAUGAACGCUAGCGGCAGGCUUAAUACAUGCAAGUCGAACGGUAACAGGGUAGCAAUACCGCUGACGAGUGGCGCACGGGUGCGUAACGCGUAUGCAACUUACCUUUAACUGGAGAAUAGCCCCGAGAAAUUGGGAUUAAUACUCCAUAAUAUACGGAACGGCAUCGUUCUGUGUUGAAAGUCCCAACGGUUAAAGAUAGGCAUGCGUCCCAUUAGUUUGUUGGUGAGGUAACGGCUCACCAAGACUUCGAUGGGUAGGGGUUCUGAGAGGAUGAUCCCCCACACUGGUACUGAGACACGGACCAGACUCCUACGGGAGGCAG